GCCCCGGCUAACUACGUGCCAGCAGCCGCGGUAAUACGUAGGGGGCGAGCGUUGUCCGGAAUUAUUGGGCGUAAAGGGUACGUAGGCGGCUUUUUAAGUUUGACGUGAAAGCCCGGGGCUUAACUCCGGCAAGCGUUGAAAACUGGAGGGCUUGAGUGAUGGAAGGGACAGUGGAAUUCCUGGUGUAGUGGUGAAAUGCGCAGAGAUCAGGAAGAAUACCAGUGGCGAAGGCGACUGUCUGGACAUUAACUGACGCUGAGGUACGAAAGCGUGGGGAGCAAACAGGAUCAGAUACCCUGGUAGUCCACGCUGUAAACGAUGAGUGCAAGGUGUUGGGGGUCAAACCUCGGUGCCGCCGUUAACACAGUAAGCACUCCGCCUGGGGAGUACGACCGCA
This 397-nucleotide ribosomal RNA is filed under the name uncultured bacterium. Its description in RNAcentral is "bacterial SSU rRNA". It matches the Rfam family "Bacterial small subunit ribosomal RNA", at positions 490 to 890 of the family's 1533-position model. The record is from RNAcentral.